Molecule: ribosomal RNA, 327 nt
Filed under: uncultured eukaryote
Lineage: Eukaryota
Description: partial 18S ribosomal RNA
Rfam family: Eukaryotic small subunit ribosomal RNA
Source: RNAcentral
CCCUUAGAUGUUCUGGGCCGCACGCGCGCUACACUGACGAAUGCAACGAGCUUAUAACCUUGGCCGAAAGGUCUGGGUAAUCUCCAAAUUUCGUCGUGAUGGGGAUAGAUUAUUGCAAUUAUUAAUCUUCAACGAGGAAUGCCUAGUAAGCGCAAGUCAUCAGCUUGCGUUGAUUACGUCCCUGCCCUUUGUACACACCGCCCGUCGCUCCUACCGAUUGAAUGGUCCGGUGAAGCGUUCGGACCGUGGCCUUUGGACGGUUCGCCGUCUGUUGGCUGCGGGAAGUACGUUAAACCUUAUCAUUUAGAGGAAGGAGAAGUCGUAACA